UUGAUUACGUCCCUGCCCUUUGUACACACCGCCCGUCGCUGCCCGGGACUGAGUUGUUUCGAGAAAAGCGGAGACUGCUGCUCUGAGCUUCUUCGGAAGGUCGUUGCGGCGAGAACCGCGUUAAUCGAAACGGCUUGAACCGGGCAAAAGUCGUAACAAGGUUUCCGUAGGUGAACCUGCGGAAGGAUCAUUAUUGAGCAUAUCUUUUCAUAAAGAAAAUUCGAGCUGAAUCUUCGCUGUUCACGUUUCUAGGCGUCGCAUUCUCUCAAUUAACGGCUUUGAAUGGUUUCUGUAGGUGUCCGGAGCAGUUGUAUGAGCGUGACUGUGGUGAUGGACAUUUGAGUCAUUAGCGUUCGUCGCUUUGACUAGAAUUAAAGAGGUCUGCUUCGACUCGCCGUUUACAAAUAACUACAAUUAACAUUUGAUCACUUUGAGAGACACCUGCAAUAGGUGUGUUUUUUGAAAGAUUUAUCAAGUCUUAUCGGUGGAUCACUCGGUUCGUAGUUCGAUGAAAAACGGGGCAAAAACCGUUAUUUGGCGUGAAUUGCAGACAUAUUGAACGCUAAAAUUUUGAACGCAAAUGGCACUAUCAGGUUUAUAUCUGUUAGUAUGUUUGGUUGAGGGUCGAUAAAUUCGUUACUUGCAGUCUGCUGUGACUGUUCUUUCGAUUAGCUACUCGACCGGUCUUGGCCGGUUGGGUACCUUCUCGGUAUGGCUGAAUUAUCGAUAGUAGAAUUCGUGUUCGCACGAGCUAUCAUUGAAUUCUGUGCGUUUUGUGUGCUUUGGAGUGCGGCGCGUUUCUUGCCGACUGACUUGUACGGACGUAACGGUACGUAUAUGCUUCAAUUGGUCAGUUCUUCAAGUGUGCACUUUUCUCGUUUCAAACACGUCUCGUUUGUUGAGGAAACGCGCAAAAUUGUAAACUUUUCGUUUACGACCUCAACUCAAGCAAGAUUACCCGCUGAACUUAAGCAUAUCAGUAAGCGGAGGAAAAGAAACUAACUAGGAUUUCCUUAGUAACGGCGAGUGAAA
RNAcentral lists this unclassified non-coding RNA (1032 nucleotides) under Steinernema kushidai. Its description in RNAcentral is "partial contains 18S rRNA, ITS1, 5.8S rRNA, ITS2 and 28S RNA". The stretch from base 1 to 193 matches the Rfam family "Eukaryotic small subunit ribosomal RNA", at positions 1641 to 1831 of the family's 1831-position model. The record is from RNAcentral. Lineage: Eukaryota; Metazoa; Nematoda; Chromadorea; Rhabditida; Steinernematidae.